Non-coding RNA from Megalops atlanticus (tarpon), 70 nucleotides. NCBI's taxonomy places the organism in Eukaryota, Metazoa, Chordata, Actinopteri, Elopiformes, Megalopidae. The record is from the annotation of a GenBank genome assembly.
UCAUGUGUAGCAUAGUGGUUAAGGACCAGGGCUCAAAACCCAAAGGUUGCCGGUUCGAUUCCCCACUGAG